Molecule: ribosomal RNA, 200 nt
Filed under: uncultured bacterium
Lineage: Bacteria
Description: partial 16S ribosomal RNA
Rfam family: Bacterial small subunit ribosomal RNA
Source: RNAcentral
AACGAACGCUGGCGGCAUGCUUAACACAUGCAAGUUGAACGCAGGAUAGGACUUCGGUUCUAUCGCUGAGUAGCAAACGGGUGAGUAACGCGUGGGAAUCUACCUUUUUGUGGGGGAUAACUAAGGGAAACUUUAGCUAAUACCGCAUAAGCUCUACGGAGGAAAGGCUCUAUAGGUUUCAGUAAUCAGAUGUUAGAAGA